This is a long non-coding RNA of Scylla paramamosain (green mud crab), 903 nucleotides long. RefSeq lists it as uncharacterized. The record is from RefSeq and is a predicted model, not a curated record. The transcript has 4 exons. NCBI's taxonomy places the organism in Eukaryota, Metazoa, Arthropoda, Malacostraca, Decapoda, Portunidae.
CGAGGCCGGCAGUGGCGCCAGUCUCCGUAGGUAGACGACGGCGGGCGGUAACCGGGCUUAGGGCAGUACCUCCACUAACUUUCAAAUGCUGAAGUGACACGGAUUUUUUAAGAGUGUUUUUGCAGUUCUAGUGACAGACUAAUACGACUUUACAUUGUGAAAAGAAGAAACAGUCUUGAGAACCCGGCUAAUUGUGUCUGUGGCCUCGGAAAAUAGUAGCGGUGAGAGGAAAAUGUUUCUCAACACAGCCAUACAGGCCGCAACGUCUUAAUGGACUAAACGCCACAAAACAACCACAGAGGCACGACUACUUAAUCAAGGGUGGGAGACAGGUGGGCGGUGGUGCGCCGCCUGUCCUGCCUGGCGAACACCGUACCGGGACAAGGCUGGCGGCGAGGAGUGUCACCUCCACACAGUGACGUUCAAUCAUCGAGGACUGCUUUCCAAACUGACGUGCGGCGCCAUACUUUGGGUGUUCAGGAAGGAGACGAGUGUUAACGUGAAUGGUGGGGGACCCGGGAGAGCGAGGAUGACAGUUGGCAAAGAUGUGCCUAGGUGUUACUGUCAUGGACCGCAGAACCAGCGGCCGUCUAGGGGCGUGGCUGGAGCAGUGGUGGCAGUCCUUCCUUCUGACUGCUUUUCCUUCCUUACGAGUUACAAGAGGUAAGUGAUGGGAGCAAUCAGGCGCGGCGAAGCGGCGAGGCGCGGCUCGGGACCCAGCCCCUGAACAUAAAUCUAAGAAGAGGCUUUGAAUUCAUUCACGUUCUUUAUGAUAUAUUGUUGCAGUAAAGGUUGUUCUGAGUGUUGCGUUGUGGACGACGGUGCUCGGGAAACAUGAAAAAUGUCACGUGAGCUUUCCACACUCUAAUGUACGUAAAUAAAUUCUUCUAUCACCCCUCGCAA